This 76-nucleotide transfer RNA is filed under the name Mycoplasma zalophi. RNAcentral's name for it is "tRNA-Lys". It matches the Rfam family "tRNA". Rfam says of the family: Transfer RNA (tRNA) molecules are approximately 80 nucleotides in length. Their secondary structure includes four short double-helical elements and three loops (D, anti-codon, and T loops). Further hydrogen bonds mediate the characteristic L-shaped molecular structure. tRNAs have two regions of fundamental functional importance: the anti-codon, which is responsible for specific mRNA codon recognition, and the 3' end, to which the tRNAs corresponding amino acid is attached (by aminoacyl-tRNA synthetases). tRNAs cope with the degeneracy of the genetic code in two manners: having more than one tRNA (with a specific anti-codon) for a particular amino acid; and 'wobble' base-pairing, i.e. permitting non-standard base-pairing at the 3rd anti-codon position. Lineage: Bacteria; Bacillati; Mycoplasmatota; Mollicutes; Mycoplasmatales; Mycoplasmataceae. RNAcentral also lists the same sequence under 1 other name. The record is from RNAcentral.
GCAUCAUUAGCUCAGUUGGUAGAGCAGGAGACUCUUAAUCUUCGGGUCACAGGUUCGAGCCCUGUAUGGUGUACCA